CAAUCAAAUUGCGGCAUUUGACAGACGAGCGAAGUGUACACCGAAUAUCUCCGAGUCACUUUCUCAACGUUCCUUUGUCUCCGUUGUCUUAGCGGCCAUGUUAAAUUAGCUCGGAACAGAAGGCUGGCUGUCGGUGCGCGUUUGUCCUUUUGGAGAGGCGAAGUGAAGGGGAGGACAGUUUGGCAAAGCCACCGAGUCAACUAUGACAGAAUGGCCGCCAAAGUUUAUCUUUGCAAAGCCGGGCCGGGAUGAUGUCAUCGGCAGCUGCUGCCUGGCUGACGGACAGUUUCCGCACCACAACAUGGGGCCCUAUGGUCCGCCUGUCAAAGCGACUGACGGCUGAAUGACACCAAUGAGAGCCAGCCGUCCCUCCGCCUCACUGAGUGACAGCCAGUAAGCAGCCAGGAAUGGCGUCCCUGAACCCGAAAGUAAUCGCUUUUAACUUUUCCUCUCAGCUUUUUCUUCCUGUCACCCCCUUUCUUUCGUCUUCUGGCUCUUGUUUGUCUUCUCAAGCGCUUCCAUUUUCCAACAUGGACGCUGGAUUCUCAUCUUUAUGACAAGAACUAAUUGUUUCAGACAACCUGUGUUUACUCCAGCAUCCCAAAUGCGAUGCUGACAGAUAAAUCGGGACAGUUGGACGGGGCGACUGCUCACACGGCCCACCCAAGUGCCUUUCAGCCUGGCACACUGCCCGAGGCCCACGUAGUCAUGUGACCCCCACAAGUCUUUGCACCCACUGACCCCCUAACCUCUUCGCCCACUGUCCCACGAUCCCUUCAACAUUGUAACCCUUUUUUUUUUUUUUGAAAUGCGCUUUCUCAAGUGAGCGGAGCUUCAACGAGACAGGCGAGGAUGCAAAAACGACUCUUGUCCCUUGAUCCGACGCUCCCUUUUUAUCUCACUAUGUUUCUGUCUCAUUUGUCCAUCACGUCCUUUCAAUCUUUCUUCAUCUAAGUGGCGUCACACUCGCUCAGUCAGUCAAUCUGGUCGAACGCUGACGUCCGAGUCUCUCCGGCUGUCUGUUGUCUGUCUCUUUUCUUUGUUGCGUUGCUCAGUGUGGCUUUUUUUUUUUGCCUUGUGAGAAACUCUUAAGGGGCUUUUGUUGGGAGCUCCAGUCCCUUCCAUGGUGACCAUUUCUGACUGACAGCUCUUAAAGGGCUCUCUUCAUUGCCGGGACGUGAAGGAAUGUGUGUCGGAUAUUUACCGAUCAUACACUCGAGUGGGAUUAAUCACAAAUUGUGAGAAAAGUUGAUCACAUAAUAAUAUUUGUGUUGCCUUAUGUAACAUCCCCAAAUAUUUUGAAUAUAAAUAAAGUG
This is a long non-coding RNA of Syngnathus typhle (broad-nosed pipefish), 1316 nucleotides long. RefSeq lists it as uncharacterized. The transcript has 3 exons. The record is from RefSeq and is a predicted model, not a curated record. Lineage: Eukaryota; Metazoa; Chordata; Actinopteri; Syngnathiformes; Syngnathidae.